GGGAAUGCUUACAGCAAUCUAAUCUCCAGAAUGCAAACUUUGAACAUUAUAAAACUUGCUACCCAGAACAAAAAGCAAAGGAAAAGUACCAGAUGUGGACAGCAAUGUCCUAAAUAGAAAUAACCUUUGCCUCUUGGAAUCUGACAUAAAUUGCUCAUUAAUUGCAUUUAUGCUGAGUGAGAAGAGAUUAUCAGACAGAACUUGCCUUUUCAGGAUGUGGACUAUCGUUCCUUGUAUUAUUGCUAGAUGGGGGGGGGAAUCAUUUUGUAACCAUACCAAGAAAAGUUCAACAUUUUUUUCUGUGUUAUAUUUGGGACACAUUAUGUGAAGACCAAGCUCCCUUGAGAAGUCUAUAAUUCUGGGAAAGGCAGAAGAAAAGAAGAGGAUGACCAGUAGCAAGCUGCACAGUGAUGAAUACACCAUUGGAAGACUUGAAGGACCAGGCUGGGAACUGUUCAUCCUGGUGAAGAUCUAGCUAUAUGGCUACAAAGAGUCAGUGCUGACUUGAUAUCACAUAACCAAUAAAUCAAUUUCCCUUUCAAAAUCAUCCCUUGAUUUCAAAAUAGCA
Molecule: long non-coding RNA, 568 nt
Organism: Crotalus tigris (Tiger rattlesnake)
Lineage: Eukaryota; Metazoa; Chordata; Lepidosauria; Squamata; Viperidae
Exons: 2
Source: RefSeq, a predicted model, not a curated record